CAAGAUGGACUCAUUUUGGCCAUAAUAAAAUUGGAAAGACACAAAUAAGAUUAACAUAGCCCCUGCACAAAGAUGCCAUGUAAUAUUAUGAAGUCUUCCAUAAUAAA
Lutra lutra (Eurasian river otter) is the source of this 107-nucleotide small nuclear RNA. Lineage: Eukaryota; Metazoa; Chordata; Mammalia; Carnivora; Mustelidae. The record is from RefSeq and is a predicted model, not a curated record.